GACGAACGCUGGCGGCGUGCUUAACACAUGCAAGUCGAACGAAGAGCGAUGGAAGCUUGCUUCUAUCAAUCUUAGUGGCGAACGGGUGAGUAACGCGUAAUCAACCUGCCCUUCAGAGGGGGACAACAGUUGGAAACGACUGCUAAUACCGCAUACGAUCUAAUCUCGGCAUCGAGGAGAGAUGAAAGGUGGCCUCUACAUGUAAGCUAUCACUGAAGGAGGGGAUUGCGUCUGAUUAGCUAGUUGGAGGGGUAACGGCCCACCAAGGCGAUGAUCAGUAGCCGGUCUGAGAGGAUGAACGGCCACAUUGGGACUGAGACACGGCCCAGACUCCUACGGGAGGCAGCAGUGGGGAAUCUUCCGCAAUAGACGAAAGUCUGACGGAGCAACGCCGCGUGAGCGAUGACGGCCUUCGGGUUGUAAAGCUCUGUUAAUCGGGACGAAAGGCCUUCUUGCGAAUAGUGAGAAGGAUUGACGGUACCGGAAUAGAAAGCCACGGCUAACUACGUG
Molecule: ribosomal RNA, 510 nt
Filed under: uncultured bacterium
Lineage: Bacteria
Description: partial 16S ribosomal RNA
Rfam family: Bacterial small subunit ribosomal RNA
Source: RNAcentral